This 255-nucleotide ribosomal RNA is filed under the name Clostridioides difficile. Its description in RNAcentral is "partial 23S ribosomal RNA". It matches the Rfam family "Bacterial large subunit ribosomal RNA", at positions 2035 to 2288 of the family's 2925-position model. The record is from RNAcentral. Lineage: Bacteria; Bacillati; Bacillota; Clostridia; Peptostreptococcales; Peptostreptococcaceae.
GGUGAAAUUGUAAUUCCGGUGAAGAUGCCGGAUACCUGCGACAGGACGGAAAGACCCCAUGGAGCUUUACUGUAGCUUGACAUUGGGUCUUGGUACUACAUGUACAGGAUAGGUGGGAGGCUUUGAACCCAGGACGCCAGUUUUGGCGGAGCCAUCCUUGGGAUACCACCCUUGUAGUACUGGGACUCUAACCAUAGGCCAUGAAUCUGGUCUUGGGACACUGUCAGGUGGGCAGUUUGACUGGGGCGGUCGCCU